GUGAAUCAUCGAAUCUUUGAACGCAAAUUGCGCCUUUUUCUGAAGGCAUGUCUGUUUGAGGGCACCAUUUAACAAAUAAUGUGCAGCGUUUUUUGUUUCACACGUUGAUGCGCUUUCCAAGAAUUUUAAAUUUUUGGUGGCUCAUAAUGAACAGCGUGAAAGUUUUUUUUAGUUCUAGUGUAGAUAAAUCUUUGCUUG
RNAcentral lists this unclassified non-coding RNA (198 nucleotides) under Paraglomus occultum. RNAcentral describes it as "partial contains 5.8S ribosomal RNA and internal transcribed spacer 2". The stretch from base 1 to 65 matches the Rfam family "5.8S ribosomal RNA", at positions 84 to 154 of the family's 154-position model. The record is from RNAcentral. Lineage: Eukaryota; Fungi; Glomeromycota; Glomeromycetes; Paraglomerales; Paraglomeraceae.